RNAcentral lists this ribosomal RNA (453 nucleotides) under uncultured bacterium. RNAcentral describes it as "bacterial SSU rRNA". It matches the Rfam family "Bacterial small subunit ribosomal RNA", at positions 340 to 786 of the family's 1533-position model. The record is from RNAcentral.
UACGGAAGGCAGCAGUGGGGAAUAUUGCACAAUGGGCGCAAGCCUGAUGCAGCCAUGCCGCGUGUAUGAAAAAGGCCUUCGGGUUGUAAAGUACUUUCAGUCGUGAGGAAGGUGUUAAGGUUAAUAACCUUAGCAAUUGACGUUAGCGACAGAAGAAGCACCGGCUAACUCCGUGCCAGCAGCCGCGGUAAUACGGAGGGUGCGAGCGUUAAUCGGAAUUACUGGGCGUAAAGGGCACGCAGGCGGUUAAUUAAGUUGGAUGUGAAAUCCCCGGGCUUAACCUGGGAAUGGCAUUCAAGACUGGUUAGCUAGAGCCUUGUAGAGGGGGUAGAAUUCCAUGUGUAGCGGUGAAAUGCGUAGAGAUGUGGAGGAAUACCGGUGGCGAAGGCGGCCCCUGGACAAAGACUGACGCUCAUGUGCGAAAGCGUGGGGAGCAAACAGGGAUUAGAUACC